GGCUGGGCUGGGCUGGGCUGGGGAGGGAAGCCCUGGCGGUGCACUAGCAAGUGCCGCCUGGAUCGGCCCCUCCGGAUUGCCGGAGGUGGUGGCUGCUCUUUACUCUUUUGAUCCGAAGCCCGGAGCGAGGCAGCCGAGGGGGCGGGGCGCGGGGGACCGGCCCACGCUGCAAAGCAGGUCCCGCGGUCUUGCAAUGAUUAAGCUGGUAACUUUCAGCAAGGAGCGCGGCGCGGGUUUAGAAAACGCCGCGGGUGCAGCUGACGUCUCGCGCAGCCAAAGGAAGGGAGGGAGCGAGCGAGCGCCGCCGCCGCGCAAACAGGAUGACACGAGGUUAACGCCAACAGCACAGGCCCCGGCAGCCGCUCCGGUCCCGAGCGGCCCUUGACCCUUCCCCCGAGGUCGGCGGGCGCCGCUUAGCGCUCAGCGGGAUCACAGGCUACAAACAGUCUCCCGCCGGCUGCAAAAAUACGGACUCGGCGAGGCUGCACCCGGAGCGGCGGGCGGGGAGAGGGCAGCAAAUUCGGAGCGGCUGGGCUUGUCCCCGGGCCAGAGCCCAAACCGUCCGGGCUCCAAGGGGCUGCGGCAGAGCGAGGUCUCGGCGCGAAGCAACAAGUGCUGGGGGAAGCGUGGCCCUGGAGCCACCCCUUGCAGCAGCGUCUGCGCUCAGCGGAUGGCUCCCGGCCGGGGCUCUUCAAUGCAACUUCGGCUGGUUUCCCUUCGCCCUGUAGUGGAGCUGCUGCUCCGCCCAGCCGCGGCGCUCUGCUCCAGCAGAGCUGUUCUGCGGGGCGCUGGGAGUAGUGUGAGCCGCCAGUCGGAGCGAGCAGCUGCGCUCCGGGUUUCAGCCUCCUGAAUCUGCCCGGCCAGUCGCUCUCUGUCUGGCUCCUCGAACAGCGGGUGGGGUGCGCCGUUGGCACAGAGCGCCAGGAUGAAGAGAAGCAGGAGGGGCGUCAAUCAAAAGCGUUAUCAAAUAAAUCCAUACUUCCUACUCUCUUAUGUCUGAUCCUGAAUAAAUGAAGUCAUUUGGAGCAUUUGCCAUUGUCUUCAAUAGCGACAAGAACAAACUCUUAGGAUUGAAAGCUCUUAUUCCAAUCUUCCACCACUUUGAAUCCUUGUAAAGAACAUUCCAUUCCCAUUUUUUCAGAUGGGAAAACUGAAGCACGGAAUGGCAAUGUGAGUUGCUAAAGAUCACAGGACAAGGCACUGGCAGCGGUGGGAGUAGAAUCUACCUCUCCUGACUCCAAUCUUGUGUUAACAAGCAUGCAACAGGCAGUGCCAGGACAAGCUUCUGUUACACCAUCCUGCCAAUGUGCUUCAAGCUAGACCUGGAUUGACCACCCCUUUCUUUUCCCGCAAAAAACAAACAAACAAAAAAAAAACCGUAAAGCAGACGCAUUCCCUGGAUACGGCAGAGUUUGAAAAACCCCAUAGUCUAGACAUAGCCAUGGCCAUAUACUGGGAACCUGUGAUAAGGAUUUUACCUUGAACCAAGUCUACCUGGUUACGUUUCAAUUUGUUUUUUUCUUUCUCUUGUACCCAUUUCUUCCUUUA
Pelodiscus sinensis (Chinese soft-shelled turtle) is the source of this 1548-nucleotide long non-coding RNA. RefSeq lists it as uncharacterized. Lineage: Eukaryota; Metazoa; Chordata; Testudines; Trionychidae. The record is from RefSeq and is a predicted model, not a curated record.